UACAGAGACUGCAAGCGUUAUUCGGAUUCACUGGGCGUAAAGGGUGCGCAGGCGGCCAAGUGUGUGAGGCGUGAAAGCCCGGGGCUUAACCCCGGAAUUGCACCUCAAACUACAUGGCUAGAGCGUUGGAGAGGGUAGCGGAAUUCACGGUGUAGCAGUGAAAUGCGUAGAUAUCAGGAGGAACACCAAUGGCGAAGGCAGCACUCUGGGACGUGACUGACGCUGAGGAGCGAAAGCGUGGGUAGCAAACAGG
RNAcentral lists this ribosomal RNA (253 nucleotides) under uncultured bacterium. RNAcentral describes it as "partial 16S ribosomal RNA". It matches the Rfam family "Bacterial small subunit ribosomal RNA", at positions 524 to 776 of the family's 1533-position model. The record is from RNAcentral.